GGGGCAUGCGAGGGCUGUCGCUGACUCAAAGUCGUGCACGCCCGAGUGUGUCGCCUCACAUAAUAAUCCAUCUCACCCUUUGUGCAUCACCGCGUGGGCACCCCUUUGGGAUCAUCUCGGAGGGGGCUCGCGUUUUCACACGAAACCCCCCUUUUAAAAGUGUAGAAUGACCUCAUUUAUGCGCUAACCCGCAAUCAAUACAACUUUCAACAACGGAUCUCUUGGCCCUCGCAUCGAUGAAGAACGCAGCGAAAUGCGAUACGUAAUGUGAAUUGCAGAAUUCAGUGAAUCAUCGAAUCUUUGAACGCACCUUGCGCCCCCUGGUAUUCCGAGGGGCACACCCGUUUGAGUGUCGUGAAAACCUCAACCUCCUUGGUUUCUUCUGGAGACCAAAGCAGGCUUGGACUUUGGAGGCCUUUGCUGGCACCUCUCGCCAGCUCCUCUUAAAUGAAUUAGCAGGGUCCUCUUUGCUGAUCCUCGACGUGUGAUAAGAUGUUUCCAUGUCUUGGUUUCUGGCUCUGUCACCUUUGGGACCCGCUUCUAACCGUCUUCAACCUUGCGUUGAGACAACGNUCGAGCAUGUCUCCCUUCUCGGGAAGCUCCCNCGACCCCACGANCCUUGA
This 623-nucleotide ribosomal RNA is filed under the name uncultured Lactarius. RNAcentral describes it as "eukaryotic LSU rRNA". The stretch from base 202 to 355 matches the Rfam family "5.8S ribosomal RNA". The record is from RNAcentral. Lineage: Eukaryota; Fungi; Basidiomycota; Agaricomycetes; Russulales; Russulaceae.